This 885-nucleotide long non-coding RNA is filed under the name Homo sapiens (human). RNAcentral describes it as "HSALNT0355563". Lineage: Eukaryota; Metazoa; Chordata; Mammalia; Primates; Hominidae. The record is from RNAcentral.
CGGCGCUUUCCGCGUCGCACAGCGCACCCGCCCGGCUUGGAGCCCUUUCCCCAGGAUGUGCUUGCUGUCGCGCAGGAAGCCAUCAUACGCGAAGGCGCUCACGCCCACAGCUACCAGACUCUGAAGAAGAUGGCAUUUCCUCCCGAUGUUGCCAUCACUUCAUUCCGUCAGCCAAGUUCUUCUUUGUGGCUCAAGGAAUGUUCGCUCUUUGAGAUACCAUCAACAAAGCACGUGAAAUUGUCAGAGGCUGAGCUUUCAGGAAAAUCCUAUUGACAACAGCCAAGUGGGAGUCAGUCUCCGUCCUCAGUGACCUGUCUUUGUUCCUUAGAUUAGAGGACCCUCAUUCACAUCUUCUUUCUGCGGCGAUAGUCAAGAUGCUCACAUGGGGUAAAACCCUAUCAAUUUAGGCUAAUUGGAGGGAAGGCCGUGGAAUGAGGGAAAAGUCAAGUGUAUUCAGUAACCAAAAAAUAUGCUAAUAAAGGGUUGCUAAGUAGAAAAACAUUCUUUGGAAACUAUCUCUAAGAACUAUUUUAAUUAUCACACAAACUGCUUGUAUGGUGCAUUUAUAAAGUUUGACCUCAGUUUGUUCUUAAGCAGCAUUACUUGCUGGGAAAGCCUUUUUAUCAGCUCAACGCCACACUCCAACUUGAGCUCAGUAUGGUUAGUACAAAUUACCAAUUACCAGGUUUCAUGUUAAUGAGGUUUUCAUGCCAUAAGGAUUAUAGGGUCUUGGAGACAGAAGGAAUCUUAGUGGGAAUUGAAUCCAAUCUUUUAUCCAUUUCUAGAAGCCUCUGCUUGACUAUUUCCUGAGCCAGAACCACACAUAUGAGGGGAUAACACAGUCCAUCAAAAACACUGCUCUAGAACAUAGAAAACAGGGCCGGG